Pieris brassicae (large cabbage white) is the source of this 445-nucleotide long non-coding RNA. RefSeq lists it as uncharacterized. NCBI's taxonomy places the organism in Eukaryota, Metazoa, Arthropoda, Insecta, Lepidoptera, Pieridae. The record is from RefSeq and is a predicted model, not a curated record. The transcript has 3 exons.
AUGAUAUUGAAUUGUAGCUUAUACGACACGUUUGUCGGUUUAUCAUAGCAGUGCCAUCUAUUGAUUACUUACUCAAUCCAGUCGAAAAGUAUCGACAUCUGUUAGGAUCUUUUGGAUUUACAGGUAAUUGGAUGGUGGGGUACAAUAAAUUGGAGACCAGACGGGACUUACAGUUGGUUAUGUAGUAGACAUAAUGAAAGCCUUGAGGGGUGUAGUGUGCAAACCAAGUGUACUCCAAGAACUGGGUUACUUGGUACCUAUAGGAUAUGUUAUUGGCAAGGUUAUUUGCGAUACCAAGGUCAAAGAACCAGUCUGUUGCACAGAUCCCCGUCAUCCAGGACGUUGCGACUACUGAAUGCUGACUCCGCACUAUUGAUAUAUUUAUAUGUUCGCAGAGCGAAUUCACAGUAGCGAUAUUGUUGGUUGCCUGGAAGAAAUCGCUCGA